Molecule: ribosomal RNA, 253 nt
Filed under: uncultured bacterium
Lineage: Bacteria
Description: partial 16S ribosomal RNA
Rfam family: Bacterial small subunit ribosomal RNA
Source: RNAcentral
UACGUAGGGGGCUAGCGUUGUCCGGAAUCAUUGGGCGUAAAGCGCGUGUAGGCGGCCCGAUAAGUCCGCUGUGAAAGUCCAGGGCUCAACCCUGGGAUGCCGGUGGAUACUGUCGGGCUCGAGUCCGGAAGAGGCGAGUGGAAUUCCUGGUGUAGCGGUGAAAUGCGCAGAUAUCAGGAGGAACACCCGUGGCGAAGGCGGCUCUCUGGGACGUGACUGACGCUGAGACGCGAAAGCGUGGGGAGCGAACAGG